AGAGUUUGAUCCUGGCUCAGGAUUAACGCUGGCGGCGUGCAUAACACAUGCAAGUCGAACGAUGAAACUUUAAUGAACCCUUCGGGGAGAAUUAAAGCGGAUUAGUGGCGAACGGGUGAGUAACGCGUGAGUAACCUGCCUUACACAAGGGGAUAGCCUUUGGAAACGAAGAAUAAUACCCUAUAAAACCAUAAAAGCACAUGCAAUUAUGGUCAAAGUAUUAGCGGUGUAAGAUGGACUUGCGUCUGAUUAGCUAGUUGGUGAGAUAAAAGCCCACCAAGGCAACGAUCAGUAGCCGGCUUGAGAGAGUGUACGGCCACAUUGGGACUGAGACACGGCCCAGACUCCUACGGGAGGCAGCAGUGGGGAAUUUUGCACAAUGGGGGAAACCCUGAUGCAGCGACGCCGCGUGAUUUAGAAGGCCUUCGGGUUGUAAAAAUCUUUUGUAUAGGAAGAAAAUGACAGUACUAUACGAAUAAGGUCCGGCUAAUUACGUGCCAGCAGCCGCGGUAAUACGUAAGGACCGAGCGUUGUCCGGAAUCAUUGGGCGUAAAGGGUACGUAGGCGGCUAGAAAAGUUAGAAGCCAAAGGCUAUAGCUCAACUAUAGUAAGCUUCUAAAACUAUUUAGCUUGAGAGAUGGAAGGGAAAGUGGAAUUCCUAGUGUAGCGGUGGAAUGCGCAGAUAUUAGGAGGAAUACCGGUGGCGAAGGCGACUUUCUGGCCAUUUUCUGACGCUGAGGUACGAAAGCGUGGGUAGCAAACAGGAUUAGAUACCCUGGUAGUCCACGCCGUAAACGAUGAGUGUUAGUGUCUGGAGUCAAAUCUGGGUGCCGCAGCAAACGCAUCAAACACUCCGCCUGGGGAGUACGCACGCAAGUGUGAAACUCAAAGGAAUUGACGG
RNAcentral lists this ribosomal RNA (901 nucleotides) under uncultured bacterium. RNAcentral describes it as "bacterial SSU rRNA". It matches the Rfam family "Bacterial small subunit ribosomal RNA", at positions 8 to 916 of the family's 1533-position model. The record is from RNAcentral.